Molecule: ribosomal RNA, 263 nt
Filed under: Azospirillum picis
Lineage: Bacteria; Pseudomonadati; Pseudomonadota; Alphaproteobacteria; Rhodospirillales; Azospirillaceae
Description: partial 23S ribosomal RNA
Rfam family: Bacterial large subunit ribosomal RNA
Source: RNAcentral
GAUCAAGCGUCUGAAGGGCAUCUGGUGGAUGCCUUGGCACUGAGAGGCGAUGAAGGACGUAGCACGUUGCGAUAAGCUUCGGGGAGCCGCGAGCAGGCUUUGAUCCGAGGAUUUCCGAAUGGGGAAACCCACCGCUUCGGCGGUAUCCUCACCUGAAUACAUAGGGUGGGGAAGCGAACCCGGCGAACUGAAACAUCUAAGUAGCCGGAGGAAAGGACAUCAACCGAGACUCCGCUAGUAGUGGCGAGCGAACGCGGACCAGG